This 364-nucleotide long non-coding RNA is filed under the name Gallus gallus (chicken). The record is from RNAcentral. Lineage: Eukaryota; Metazoa; Chordata; Aves; Galliformes; Phasianidae.
AUUAAGGUACAGCUGACUUCCUGAACUGACACCUUGAAACUACACUACCUGUACAGCUGCUUGCUCUGGCUAGAGAGAAGAGAUGAGCAAACGGUGCCUUUUGCGUGGUCACUGGCUCAGCAGGUACACAGAGUGAUAGUACAUUCCAGUGAUCACCCCCUUUACACAGCAGUUCCAAAAAUGGUCAUUACAAGAGGGUUCAUGUUAGAGCUCCCUUGCAGUAGUUCUUGUUGUACUGAGCAAGGCAGCUCCUCUUGGGAUUGGUAAAGUAGCUGAAAAAUGUAUUCUGACAUUUUCUUCUCAGGUUCAUCUGAGGACUAAGCCUUGUUUGCUGUGAUAAAUCGUCUAGGAAUGUAGGAGAGAG